RNAcentral lists this non-coding RNA (65 nucleotides) under Mycolicibacterium rhodesiae. The record is from RNAcentral. Lineage: Bacteria; Bacillati; Actinomycetota; Actinomycetes; Mycobacteriales; Mycobacteriaceae. RNAcentral also lists the same sequence under 1 other name.
CGGUAGUCAGCAAUGUGACACCGGACGAGGGGUGCCGUACCCGACCAGCGACAAGACGGCACCGU